AAGGUCCCUGAAGGAACGUUUAAGACUAAGACGUUGAUAGGCUGGGUGUGUAAGUGCAGCGAUGCAUUGAGCUAACCAGUACUAAUGAUCCGUGAGGCUUAACCUU
RNAcentral lists this ribosomal RNA (106 nucleotides) under Serratia marcescens. RNAcentral describes it as "partial 23S ribosomal RNA". It matches the Rfam family "Bacterial large subunit ribosomal RNA", at positions 2820 to 2925 of the family's 2925-position model. Lineage: Bacteria; Pseudomonadati; Pseudomonadota; Gammaproteobacteria; Enterobacterales; Yersiniaceae. RNAcentral also lists the same sequence under 1 other name. The record is from RNAcentral.